AGUCGAGCGAGCGGAACCAACAGAUUUACUUCGGUAAUGACGUUGGGAAAGCGAGCGGCGGAUGGGUGAGUAACACGUGGGGAACCUGCCCCUAAGUCUGGGAUACCAUUUGGAAACAGAUGCUAAUACCGGAUAAGAAAGCAGAUCGCAUGAUCAGCUUUUAAAAGGCGGCGUAAGCUGUCGCUAAGGGAUGGCCCCGCGGUGCAUUAGCUAGUUGGUAAGGUAACGGCUUACCAAGGCAACGAUGCAUAGCCGAGUUGAGAGACUGAUCGGCCACAUUGGGACUGAGACACGGCCCAAACUCCUACGGGAGGCAGCAGUAGGGAAUCUUCCACAAUGGACGCAAGUCUGAUGGAGCAACGCCGCGUGAGUGAAGAAGGUUUUCGGAUCGUAAAGCUCUGUUGUUGGUGAAGAAGGAUAGAGGUAGUAACUGGCCUUUAUUUGACGGUAAUCAACCAGAAAGUCACGGCUAACUACGUGCCAGCAGCCGCGGUAAUACGUAGGUGGCAAGCGUUGUCCGGAUUUAUUGGGCGUAAAGCGAGCGCAGGCGGAAAAAUAAGUCUGAUGUGAAAGCCCUCGGCUUAACCGAGGAACUGCAUCGGAAACUGUUUUUCUUGAGUGCAGAAGAGGAGAGUGGAACUCCAUGUGUAGCGGUGGAAUGCGUAGAUAUAUGGAAGAACACCAGUGGCGAAGGCGGCUCUCUGGUCUGCAACUGACGCUGAGGCUCGAAAGCAUG
RNAcentral lists this ribosomal RNA (736 nucleotides) under uncultured bacterium. RNAcentral describes it as "bacterial SSU rRNA". It matches the Rfam family "Bacterial small subunit ribosomal RNA", at positions 60 to 763 of the family's 1533-position model. The record is from RNAcentral.